UUUGAAGGGACACCGGCGUUCAGACGCGGGCCCGCGUGAACGUCUUCACGAAGGCAGACUCCGGAAGGAUACGCGUCCUGAGACGGUUAAGCAGCCCCAGGGCCGUCGCGCAGAAAGCGUGUUUGCGACUCGAGAGCAUUUGAAAAUCGUAGCAUUUAUCGCUGACUUGUCUUGAGGCAGAACGAAUUGCUGUGCAGAGGUCCGCGCAGCUGUUGCUAAGCACUGAGCGCAUAAAGGCUGUUCCCUCGGCCGGGCCCCGGGGUCACGUUUCACUGGGAGAAGAUGGAGAGCGCGGGAUCAGUGACCGUGGCCGUGGCAGCCUUUCUGCCGAGAGCUGUGCCUGCUCGUUUCACAACUCUGCCCAAGAGCAAGGGAAGAGCCUUCUUCGGGGGCUGCUACUCCUCGUCCGUCGCUGGCGACAUAAAAUUCUCGUGACCGGGAUCCAGAUUGUGUCGUAGGAGGCAGGUCUUCAACCCUCUUCCGUGAAGAUUUCUGUGUGCGCGUAUCUCAAACGGAGGCUCAUGUAGUGUGCGUUCUUUGGAGUGGCAGGAUGCAAAUGCCAUUUUCACCGCUGUGUUUAAUCUAUUUGCAGGCACUCUUAAUACCUUAGGGAAAUAAAACUUUGAUCAUGA
Long non-coding RNA from Lynx canadensis (Canada lynx), 632 nucleotides. RefSeq lists it as uncharacterized. The record is from RefSeq and is a predicted model, not a curated record. Lineage: Eukaryota; Metazoa; Chordata; Mammalia; Carnivora; Felidae. The transcript is spliced from 2 exons.